Molecule: ribosomal RNA, 1372 nt
Filed under: uncultured bacterium
Lineage: Bacteria
Description: bacterial SSU rRNA
Rfam family: Bacterial small subunit ribosomal RNA
Source: RNAcentral
GAUAAACGCUGGCGGCGUGCCUAAUACAUGCAAGUCGAGCGAACGGACGAGAAGCUUGCUUCUCUGAUGUUAGCGGCGGACGGGUGAGUAACACGUGGAUAACCUACCUAUAAGACUGGGAUAACUUCGGGAAACCGGAGCUAAUACCGGAUAAUAUUUUGAACCGCAUGGUUCAAAAGUGAAAGACGGUCUUGCUGUCACUUAUAGAUGGAUCCGCGCUGCAUUAGCUAGUUGGUAAGGUAACGGCUUACCAAGGCAACGAUGCAUAGCCGACCUGAGAGGGUGAUCGGCCACACUGGAACUGAGACACGGUCCAGACUCCUACGGGAGGCAGCAGUAGGGAAUCUUCCGCAAUGGGCGAAAGCCUGACGGAGCAACGCCGCGUGAGUGAUGAAGGUCUUCGGAUCGUAAAACUCUGUUAUUAGGGAAGAACAUAUGUGUAAGUAACUGUGCACAUCUUGACGGUACCUAAUCAGAAAGCCACGGCUAACUACGUGCCAGCAGCCGCGGUAAUACGUAGGUGGCAAGCGUUAUCCGGAAUUAUUGGGCGUAAAGCGCGCGUAGGCGGUUUUUUAAGUCUGAUGUGAAAGCCCACGGCUCAACCGUGGAGGGUCAUUGGAAACUGGAAAACUUGAGUGCAGAAGAGGAAAGUGGAAUUCCAUGUGUAGCGGUGAAAUGCGCAGAGAUAUGGAGGAACACCAGUGGCGAAGGCGACUUUCUGGUCUGUAACUGACGCUGAUGUGCGAAAGCGUGGGGAUCAAACAGGAUUAGAUACCCUGGUAGUCCACGCCGUAAACGAUGAGUGCUAAGUGUUAGGGGGUUUCCGCCCCUCAGUGCUGCAGCUAACGCAUUAAGCACUCCGCCUGGGGAGUACGACCGCAAGGUUGAAACUCAAAGGAAUUGACGGGGACCCGCACAAGCGGUGGAGCAUGUGGUUUAAUUCGAAGCAGCGCGAAGAACCUUACCAAAUCUUGACAUCCUUUGACAACUCUAGAGAUAGAGCCUUCCCCUUCGGGGGACAAAGUGACAGGUGGUGCAUGGUUGUCGUCAGCUCGUGUCGUGAGAUGUUGGGUUAAGUCCCGCAACGAGCGCAACCCUUAAGCUUAGUUGCCAUCAUUAAGUUGGGCACUCUAAGUUGACUGCCGGUGACAAACCGGAGGAAGGUGGGGAUGACGUCAAAUCAUCAUGCCCCUUAUGAUUUGGGCUACACACGUGCUACAAUGGACAAUACAAAGGGCAGCGAAACCGCGAGGUCAAGCAAAUCCCAUAAAGUUGUUCUCAGUUCGGAUUGUAGUCUGCAACUCGACUACAUGAAGCUGGAAUCGCUAGUAAUCGUAGAUCAGCAUGCUACGGUGAAUACGUUCCCGGGUCU